UACGAGGGGGGCGAGCGUUGUUCGGAUUUACUGGGCGUAAAGGGCGCGCAGGCGGUCUUGAAGGUCAGGCGUGAAAGCCCCGGGCUUAACCUGGGAAUUGCGCUUGAUACUCUGAGACUGGAGUACGGGAGAGGAGAGUGGAGUUCCCAGUGUAGAGGUGAAAUUCGUAGAUAUUGGGAAGAACACCAGUGGCGAAGGCGGCUCUCUGGACCGUAACUGACGCUGAGGCGCGAAAGCGUGGGGAGCAAACAGG
RNAcentral lists this ribosomal RNA (253 nucleotides) under uncultured bacterium. RNAcentral describes it as "partial 16S ribosomal RNA". It matches the Rfam family "Bacterial small subunit ribosomal RNA", at positions 524 to 776 of the family's 1533-position model. The record is from RNAcentral.